Molecule: ribosomal RNA, 468 nt
Filed under: uncultured bacterium
Lineage: Bacteria
Description: partial 16S ribosomal RNA
Rfam family: Bacterial small subunit ribosomal RNA
Source: RNAcentral
GACGAACGCUGGCGGCGUGCUUAACACAUGCAAGUCGAACGGAAAGGCCCUGCUUUUGUGGGGUGCUCGAGUGGCGAACGGGUGAGUAACACGUGAGUAACCUGCCCUUGACUUUGGGAUAACUUCAGGAAACUGGGGCUAAUACCGGAUAGGAGCUCCUGCUGCUUGGUGGGGGUUGGAAAGUUUCGGCGGUUGGGGAUGGACUCGCGGCUUAUCAGCUUGUUGGUGGGGUAGUGGCUUACCAAGGCUCUGACGGGUAGCCGGCCUGAGAGGGUGACCGGCCACAUUGGGACUGAGAUACGGCCCAGACUCCUACGGGAGGCAGCAGUGGGGAAGGUUGCACAAGGGGAGGAAGCCUGAUGCAGCAACGCCGCGUGCGGGAUGACGGCCUUCGGGUUGUAAACCGCUUUCGCCUGUGACGAAGCGUGAGUGACGGUAAUGGGUAAAGAAGCACCGGCUAACUACGUG